This 50-nucleotide transfer RNA is filed under the name Acmaeodera sp. RUGACM01. RNAcentral describes it as "partial tRNA-Leu". Lineage: Eukaryota; Metazoa; Arthropoda; Insecta; Coleoptera; Buprestidae. The record is from RNAcentral.
UGGCAGAAUAGUGCAAUGGACUUAAACCCCAAAUAUAAAGUUCCAACUUU